GGGCGCGUAGUGUAAUGGCAUAACACACGCACUUGUGAACUUGUGACGAGACCCGUGGUUCGACUCCCGGCGUGUCCA
Polyporus arcularius HHB13444 is the source of this 78-nucleotide non-coding RNA. The record is from the annotation of a GenBank genome assembly. NCBI's taxonomy places the organism in Eukaryota, Fungi, Basidiomycota, Agaricomycetes, Polyporales, Polyporaceae.